RNAcentral lists this non-coding RNA (25 nucleotides) under Mus musculus (house mouse). The record is from RNAcentral. Lineage: Eukaryota; Metazoa; Chordata; Mammalia; Rodentia; Muridae.
UGAAGCAGUGUAAAAGCCGGACUUC